AACGUAGGAGACGAACGUUAUCCGGAGGUACUGGGCGUAAAGGGCGUGUAGGCGGUUUGUUAAGUCUGGCGUGAAAGCUCUCGGCUAAACCGGGAGAGGUCGUUGGAUACUGGCGAACUAGAGGAUGGUAGAGGCGUGUGGAAUUCCGGGUGUAGUGGUGAAAUGCGUAGAGAUCCGGAGGAACACCAGUGGCGAAGGCGACACGCUGGGCCAUACCUGACGCUAAAGCGCGACAGCAUGGGGAGCAAACGGG
This 253-nucleotide ribosomal RNA is filed under the name uncultured bacterium. Its description in RNAcentral is "partial 16S ribosomal RNA". It matches the Rfam family "Bacterial small subunit ribosomal RNA", at positions 524 to 776 of the family's 1533-position model. The record is from RNAcentral.